GAUGAACGCUGGCGGCGUGCCUAAUACAUGCAAGUCGAGCGAACAGACGAGGAGCUUGCUCCUCUGACGUUAGCGGCGGACGGGUGAGUAACACGUGGAUAACCUACCUAUAAGACUGGGAUAACUUCGGGAAACCGGAGCUAAUACCGGAUAACAUGUUGAACCGCAUGGUUCAACAGUGAAAGACGGUCUUGCUGUCACUUAUAGAUGGAUCCGCGCCGCAUUAGCUAGUUGGUAAGGUAACGGCUUACCAAGGCAACGAUGCGUAGCCGACCUGAGAGGGUGAUCGGCCACACUGGAACUGAGACACGGUCCAGACUCCUACAGGAGGCAGCAGUAGGGAAUCUUCCGCAAUGGGCGAAAGCCUGACGGAGCAACGCCGCGUGAGUGAAGAAGGUCUUCGGAUCGUAAAACUCUGUUAUUAGGGAAGAACAAAUGUGUAAGUAACUAUGCACGUCUUGACGGUACCUAAUCAGAAAGCCACGGCUAACUACGUG
RNAcentral lists this ribosomal RNA (497 nucleotides) under uncultured bacterium. RNAcentral's name for it is "partial 16S ribosomal RNA". It matches the Rfam family "Bacterial small subunit ribosomal RNA", at positions 28 to 507 of the family's 1533-position model. The record is from RNAcentral.